UNGCAGUCUAUGUUAUGCAGAUGGCGCUG
This 29-nucleotide non-coding RNA is filed under the name Rattus norvegicus (Norway rat). The record is from RNAcentral. Lineage: Eukaryota; Metazoa; Chordata; Mammalia; Rodentia; Muridae.